Long non-coding RNA from Rhagoletis pomonella (apple maggot), 351 nucleotides. RefSeq lists it as uncharacterized. The record is from RefSeq and is a predicted model, not a curated record. The transcript is spliced from 3 exons. NCBI's taxonomy places the organism in Eukaryota, Metazoa, Arthropoda, Insecta, Diptera, Tephritidae.
CACUUUACAGUGGUGGAUGCAGUAAGGGCAAAAUGCGAUUUUUGUAAAACUACUCUGUCUUACAAAGGUGGAGGUACAUCCAAUUUACGAAAGCAUCUCCUUGUUAAGCAUCCAUCAAUUGAGUUAUCGCAAACAACAUCGGUAAGAAACGAUGAACAUGCCACAAUGGCCCCUGAACAUAGUACGUCAUCAGCUACAAAACAAACGAGGCUCAGCAACUACACGCAACCAAAAUUAUCAAAAGAAAUGGUAACAGCUUUAAAUAAGAAGCUACUGCAAAUGAUAGUGAAAGACUUUCAACCGUUCCCCAUUGUCGAGGACGUUGGCUUUAAAAACUUCAUCAGUGAGCUG